UUUGAGCUACUGCUACUUUUUCAGGAAUCUUUCUUUAUACUCCUUCAAAACUGUACAACAAAAACAGGUUGUAUGAUUCCUCAACUUCACCUAUAUGAUUAAAAGAACCGAAUCAAAAGCAGAGAGAAUUAAAGAAAAAUCACAAGGAUGAUUACAAGUUUUUUACUUUUUCAAAAGUUGACAUUAGAAGAUUAUGAUAAGAAAUCCGACUUUCAUACAUUUUUUUUUUAUGGAAAUAAUGAAGACCUGAAGAAAUAACGGCAAGUCGUAGCUAUUGAAGUUGACAAAAACGUGAAAAUGAGUUAGGAAGCAAUGCUUUGGCAUGUAAGGAUUUGUUUUGUUUUUUCGAAAAUUAAGUUGUUCAUACAUCUUGAGGGGCGCGGUUAUGGUGCAUAAGAAAAUCCUUAUGCAUCUUGCAUAAAUCCAGUAAUUGUUUUUGUGAGUUGUAUUGCAAAACUAUUAUAUGUACUUAAUGGUUUCCAGCACCCUACAUAGAAUUUCCAUCACCCUGCAUAAAAUUAUGCCAAAACUAUUUUGCUGUGAAAAUGGUUUCUGUGAGUUGUACUUCAAAACCAUUUCUGAAUUUAUGC
This 590-nucleotide long non-coding RNA is filed under the name Medicago truncatula (barrel medic). Its description in RNAcentral is "lncRNA gene43900". The record is from RNAcentral. Lineage: Eukaryota; Viridiplantae; Streptophyta; Magnoliopsida; Fabales; Fabaceae.